This 147-nucleotide signal recognition particle RNA is filed under the name Gorilla gorilla gorilla (western lowland gorilla). RNAcentral's name for it is "Metazoan signal recognition particle RNA". It matches the Rfam family "Metazoan signal recognition particle RNA". Rfam says of the family: The signal recognition particle (SRP) is a universally conserved ribonucleoprotein. It is involved in the co-translational targeting of proteins to membranes. The record is from Rfam by way of RNAcentral. Lineage: Eukaryota; Metazoa; Chordata; Mammalia; Primates; Hominidae.
GCUGGGUGUGGUGGCGCACGCUUGUAAUCCCAGCUACUCGGGAGGCUGAGACAGGAGAAUCACUUGAACCCGGGAGAUGNNGUUGCAGUGAGCCAAGAUCGUGCCACUGCACUCCAGCCUGGGUGACAGAGUGAGACUCUGUCUCAA